AUUGAACGCUGGCGGCAUGCUUUACACAUGCAAGUCGAACGGUAACAGGUUAAGCUGACGAGUGGCGAACGGGUGAGUAAUGCAUCGGAACGUGCCCGGUCGUGGGGGAUAACGCAGCGAAAGCUGCGCUAAUACCGCAUACGAUCUGAGGAUGAAAGCGGGGGACCGUAAGGCCUCGCGCGAUCGGGGCGGCCGAUGUCAGAUUAGGUAGUUGGUGGGGUAAAGGCUAACCAAGCCAACGAUCUGUAGCUGGUCCGAGAGGACGACCAGCCACACUGGGACUGAGACACGGCCCAGACUCCUACGGGAGGCAGCAGUGGGGAAUUUUGGACAAUGGGCGAAAGCCUGAUCCAGCAAUGCCGCGUGCAGGAAGAAGGCCUUCGGGUUGUAAACUGCUUUUGUACGGAGCGAAAAGGUCUCCUCUAAUACAGGGGGCUCAUGACGGUACCGUAAGAAUAAGCACCGGCUAACUACGUGCCAGCAGCCGCCGUAA
This 493-nucleotide ribosomal RNA is filed under the name uncultured bacterium. RNAcentral's name for it is "partial 16S ribosomal RNA". It matches the Rfam family "Bacterial small subunit ribosomal RNA", at positions 29 to 523 of the family's 1533-position model. The record is from RNAcentral.